This 314-nucleotide ribosomal RNA is filed under the name uncultured bacterium. Its description in RNAcentral is "bacterial SSU rRNA". It matches the Rfam family "Bacterial small subunit ribosomal RNA", at positions 8 to 334 of the family's 1533-position model. The record is from RNAcentral.
AGGGUUUGAUUAUGGCUCAGAACGAACGCUGGCGGCAGGCUUAACACAUGCAAGUUGAACGAGAAUUUACCCGGCUUGCCGGGUGAAGGGAAGUGGCGCACGGGUGAGUAACACAUGGGAACAUACCCUGAAGUGGGGAAUAACAGUUGGAAACGAUUGCUAAUACCGCAUAAUCCCUGAGGGGGAAAGAUUUAUCGCUUUAGGAAUGGCCCAUGGCAGAUUAGGCAGUUGGUGAGGUAACGGCUCACCAAACCGACGAUCUGUAGCUGGUCUGAGAGGACGAUCAGCCACACUGGAACUGAGACACGGUCCAG